RNAcentral lists this ribosomal RNA (148 nucleotides) under Pseudomonas aeruginosa. RNAcentral describes it as "partial 23S ribosomal RNA". It matches the Rfam family "Bacterial large subunit ribosomal RNA", at positions 2797 to 2925 of the family's 2925-position model. Lineage: Bacteria; Pseudomonadati; Pseudomonadota; Gammaproteobacteria; Pseudomonadales; Pseudomonadaceae. The record is from RNAcentral.
CCUCAAGAUGAGAUCUCACUGGGAACUUGAUUCCCCUGAAGGGCCGUCGAAGACUACGACGUUGAUAGGCUGGGUGUGUAAGCGUUGUGAGGCGUUGAGCUAACCAGUACUAAUUGCCCGUGAGGCUUGACCAUAUAACACCCAAACA